AUUGAACGCUGGCGGCAUGCCUUACACAUGCAAGUCGAACGGCAGCACGGGUGCUUGCACCUGGUGGCGAGUGGCGAACGGGUGAGUAAUACAUCGGAACAUGUCCUGUAGUGGGGGAUAGCCCGGCGAAAGCCGGAUUAAUACCGCAUACGAUCUACGGAUGAAAGCGGGGGACCUUCGGGCCUCGCGCUGUAGGGUUGGCCGAUGGCUGAUUUGCUCGUUGGUGGGGUAAAGGCCUACCAAGGCGACGAUCAGUAUCUGGUCUGAGAGGGCGACCAGCCACACUGGGACUGAGACACGGCCCAGACUCCUACGGGAGGCAGCAGUGGGGAAUUUUGGACAAUGGGCGAAAGCCUGAUCCAGCAAUGCCGCGUGUGUGAAGAAGGCCUUCGGGUUGUAAAGCACUUUUGUCCGGAAAGAAAUCCUUGGCCCUAAUACGGUCGGGGGAUGACGGUACCGGAAGAAUAAGCACCGGCUAACUACGUG
This 486-nucleotide ribosomal RNA is filed under the name uncultured bacterium. RNAcentral describes it as "partial 16S ribosomal RNA". It matches the Rfam family "Bacterial small subunit ribosomal RNA", at positions 30 to 507 of the family's 1533-position model. The record is from RNAcentral.